UUAUAACCCAAUUAGCUAUAGGUUAGGUAAGCAGAAGCUAAUUAGUGUUACUUUUAUUAUUAUUAUAUAAAUCGCCAUUUACACAUUUAUAACACUGAGGCAAAUGAUAACAGUAAACUAAGACUGUAUAAUACACUCGAGAAGAAAAAAAAAACAGAUUUCUCACGAAAAAUACAUUAAAAGUGUGGGUCAGCGCAUGCGUAGUGCUGUUAGGUAGCACACAUCGGCGAGUAGCACAGUUGGACAGAACGCCGGUAAACCCCGAAAACACGCGGUAAAGUGGUAACUCUCUUCUCUACAGACUCUGUGGUAUUAUUAUAUAUCUGGAUCCGCACAGAACAGCAAAAACAAGCGUCUUUAUUUCUGAUUUCUGGAGUAAAACCUCGAGUUCCGGGCUGAUAAACCCGCCGGCCGGUCCUGCAGGAGUUUAUAAUGGUCUGACUUCUGAUAAAAGCCGGUGCCUAUGUGGUGCGGAAGAUCUCUGCUGCUGUCAGAGAUGGAGAGCAGAAGGAACAGCCUCAGCUCCCAGCAUGCACCCUGGCAUCAGGUGAGAUCUCCAAAGUGAAAAACCUUUAAUGGCUGAGGCAGUAUCGACUCCAUCUUAUGAAGAUGCUGCAUCGUCCAUGCCAGCUACUACUGACACCUCGCUGCAGAAAUGCGGCUCCUGGCGUUAAGGUCAUGCAGGUGCAUAACUGGGUACAAUAUGCUAAACAGUUAAACCAGUAAGAAACUGUAAAAUCAGUCAGUGAUGAUUGGAUGGAUGUUGUUGAGAUUCCAACAUUCCUAAAAUAAAUAAACCAGACUUGAUUAAUAAAGGGCUGAUUUUGAACCCAGUUUGCCCUGCAUGACUGAUACAGUAGAUAAAUCAUAUCUCUCUCUUUUCUCUUUUCUCUCUCUCUCUCUUUUCUCUCUCUCAUACGCACUGUGCUGUAGAUUAUGAAGGUCUGAUCAUCAACCUCUAACUCUGGGACUGUUCAGAUCUGAUUUUGUCCUACAGCUGCG
Molecule: long non-coding RNA, 1002 nt
Filed under: Astyanax mexicanus (Mexican tetra)
Lineage: Eukaryota; Metazoa; Chordata; Actinopteri; Characiformes; Acestrorhamphidae
Description: lncRNA (ENSAMXG00005000049.1)
Source: RNAcentral